GAUCAUGGCUCAGGAUGAACGCUAGCGACAGGCUUAACACAUGCAAGUCGAGCGAAGCACUUUGCUUAGAUUCUUCGGAUGAAGAGGAUUGUGACUGAGCGGCGGACGGGUGAGUAACGCGUGGGUAACCUGCCUCAUACAGGGGGGAUAACAGUUAGAAAUGACUGCUAAUACCGCAUAAGACCACAGCACCGCAUGGUGCGGGGGUAAAAACUCCGGU
This 220-nucleotide ribosomal RNA is filed under the name uncultured bacterium. RNAcentral's name for it is "partial 16S ribosomal RNA". It matches the Rfam family "Bacterial small subunit ribosomal RNA", at positions 15 to 216 of the family's 1533-position model. The record is from RNAcentral.